RNAcentral lists this ribosomal RNA (85 nucleotides) under Caerostris darwini. The record is from RNAcentral. Lineage: Eukaryota; Metazoa; Arthropoda; Arachnida; Araneae; Araneidae.
CUUCUCAUUAGAUCACCGAAGUCAAGCAUCAUUGGGCGCGGUCAGUACUUGGGUGGGUGACCACCUGGGAACACCGCGUACCGUU